CCUACGGGCGGCAGCAGUGGGGAAUAUUGCACAAUGGGGGAAACCCUGAUGCAGCGACGCCGCGUGAGUGAAGAAGUAUUUCGGUACGUAAAGCUCUAUCAGCAGGGAAGAAAAUGACGGUACCUGACUAAGAAACCCCGGCUAACUACGUGCCAGCAGCCGCGGUAAUACGUAGGGGGCAAGCGUUAUCCGGAUUUACUGGGUGUAAAGGGAGCGUAGACGGCAGCGCAAGUCUGGAGUGAAAUCCCAUGGCUUAACCAUGGAACUGCUUUGGAAACUGUGCAGCUAGAGUGCAGGAGAGGUAAGCGGAAUUCCUAGUGUAGCGGUGAAAUGCGUAGAUAGUAGGAGGAACACCAGUGGCGAAGGCGGCUUACUGGACUGUAACUGACGUUGAGGCUCGAAAGCGUGGGGAGCAAACAGGAUUAGAUACCCCAGUAGU
Molecule: ribosomal RNA, 439 nt
Filed under: uncultured bacterium
Lineage: Bacteria
Description: partial 16S ribosomal RNA
Rfam family: Bacterial small subunit ribosomal RNA
Source: RNAcentral